This 25-nucleotide non-coding RNA is filed under the name Rattus norvegicus (Norway rat). Lineage: Eukaryota; Metazoa; Chordata; Mammalia; Rodentia; Muridae. The record is from RNAcentral.
AGAAGUGAAGAAAUGGGAUGAUGAA